RNAcentral lists this unclassified non-coding RNA (413 nucleotides) under soil metagenome. Its description in RNAcentral is "partial contains 5.8S ribosomal RNA, internal transcribed spacer 2, and large subunit ribosomal RNA". The stretch from base 1 to 122 matches the Rfam family "5.8S ribosomal RNA", at positions 35 to 154 of the family's 154-position model. The record is from RNAcentral.
GAUGAAGAACGCAGCGAAAUGCGAUACUUGGUGUGAAUUGCAGAAUCCCGUGAACCAUCGAGUCUUUGAACGCAAGUUGCGCCCGAAGCCGUCAGGCCGAGGGCACGCCUGCCUGGGCGUCACACGCCGUUGCCCCCCCCGCGCCCCGCACCCAACUCUUUGGGAGCGACCGCGGGGCGGGCUGAUGAUGGCCUCCCGUGCGCUCCGCCGCGCGGUUGGCCCCAAUACCGAGUCCCCGGCGACGUGCGCCACGACGAUCGGUGGUUGAGAGACCUCUGUCGCAAGUCGUGCGCGCCCGUCGCGUCACGCGGGCUCGCAUAGCGCCUCGCGCCGCACCCGGUGCGGAGCUUUCAACGCGACCCCAGGUCAGGCGGGGUUACCCGCUGAAUUUAAGCAUAUCAAUAAGCGGAGGA